CAACUGAGUACAUCACUAGUGGAAGAACAGUUUUCUUUCCUUACUUGGGAGAAUUAAUCUUUGUGAGAAAUAUGAAGCUGAUUCAUGUACCACCUAAGGUGAAAAUGUUAAAUAUGCUGAGGCUGUAGACUUUCCUUGUAGAUUUUGAGAUCAGGUCCUUUUUUGCUCAUCAUGUGAAGGUCUACACAUCCUCUCCCUUUGCAAAAACUGUUACAGAAUCUGCCCUCUAGUCAUGACAAAUUUCUGAAUCUAGUUCUGGG
This is a long non-coding RNA of Hirundo rustica (Barn swallow), 260 nucleotides long. RefSeq lists it as uncharacterized. The record is from RefSeq and is a predicted model, not a curated record. NCBI's taxonomy places the organism in Eukaryota, Metazoa, Chordata, Aves, Passeriformes, Hirundinidae. The transcript is spliced from 3 exons.